CAACUUGAGAGGUUUACUGGCCGGUUGUUGUUUUGCUAUCGACAUAUCUGCUUACUGAAGUUCUUUCAUUU
Small nucleolar RNA from Nicotiana attenuata, 71 nucleotides. It matches the Rfam family "Small nucleolar RNA snoR109", at positions 16 to 92 of the family's 92-position model. NCBI's taxonomy places the organism in Eukaryota, Viridiplantae, Streptophyta, Magnoliopsida, Solanales, Solanaceae. The record is from Rfam.